Molecule: long non-coding RNA, 1077 nt
Organism: Corticium candelabrum
Lineage: Eukaryota; Metazoa; Porifera; Homoscleromorpha; Homosclerophorida; Plakinidae
Exons: 3
Source: RefSeq, a predicted model, not a curated record
UUCACGUGCUAAUGUUUCCGGCUUUGCCUCAUGACAUCGUCAUGUUCAGUGAAACAGCACGGCUAAGUCUCUUCGAAGCCGCUUCUAUCUCCAUCUGUGCGAGCACGUACGUUGUCUGGAUCUACGUCGAUCACUUGCGCGACAACUAGAUAGUGAAACCAGGCGACCAACGCAAUAGACAGGCUAGUGUUUCUCCAUCAGAGUCUGUUUGUAUAAUGUUUCUGUUCAUAUUGUGUGUGGUGAAGCGAUAGUUGGAAGUACGAGUUAGAGAAUGGACGAUAGGGCGGUCUCCUUGAAAGAAAGGCGGUGACGUGUUGUCUUUUAUCAUAUUUACCCUUGUACUUCGUCUUCGGUCUUUAGAUGUUAGGAGAUAAAGCAGGUGUACUUGCUUUCAACCAACGUAUGUUGCAGCGCAUCGCAGUCGACUAGAGGAGAUAUAUUUAUGGUUUCAGAUAGGCUCUUUAUUGUGCAUGUAUUAGACAAUGAAGGUGCAUGACAAUGAAGAUGCAUUAAAUUUGUUAGGACAGUAAAGAUCACGGAAAUUGCUGGAUCUUAGUUCGUCAAUGUAAGAAUGGUGCGGGAAGUGCACUGUCAACAUGCAAAGUACUGACAGCCUCAUUAGGUGUGGAAUGUACUUGUAAGCAGAUUCAUUCGAAUUUCUUUUUAUCCACUGACGAAGGUUCUGUUUGUCGAUUUUGUAUUUUGUUGCCACACGUUGUUCAGAGAUGAUGCUCUACUUUCCUUCACAAUAUUCAAUUUUUAAGAUCUCUUUUUCUCUUCGUGGACAGUUCUUGUCAAAUGGCAAACUAAACAAUGAGUGUGAACAAUGUCGGAUACCAGUCUUCGGCUCCAAGGCAUGGGUUACUGUUCAAACAUGGGUUACUAUCAUUUCAAACUGAUCAGAUCCUUCAGUUAUAUUUGAGUACAGUUUAUUAUUCAAGGAAAUAUGAAAGUGUGAAGAAAGAAAAAAGACGGUAAAGCAGCAAUGAUGUAUACUGGGUAUAUUUAUGUAUUUUCAAUAUUGUAGUACAGUACUGUGCAGAUGUAACACUACAUCAGAGGUUUCACUGAUCAACU